GGGUUGUGAGGUUAAGCGACUAAGCGUACACGGUGGAUGCCCUGGCAGUCAGAGGCGAUGAAGGACGUGCUAAUCUGCGAAAAGCGUCGGUAAGGUGAUAUGAACCGUUAUAACCGGCGAUGUCCGAAUGGGGAAACCCAGUGCAAUUCGUUGCACUAUCGUUAACUGAAUACAUAGGUUAACGAGGCGAACCGGGGGAACUGAAACAUCUAAGUACCCCGAGGAAAAGAAAUCAACCGAGAUUCCCCCAGUAGCGGCGAGCGAACGGGGAGCAGCCCGGAGUCUGAAUCAGCUUGUGUGUUAGUGGAAGCGUCUGGAAAGUCGCAGGGUACAGGGUGAUACUCCCGUACACUAAAACACACAGGUUGUGAACUCGAAGAGUAGGGCGGGACACGUGGUAUCCUGUCUGAAUAUGGGGGGACCAUCCUCCAAGGCUAAAUACUCCUGACUGACCGAUAGUGAACCAGUACCGUGAGGGAAAGGCGAAAAGAACCCCGGCGAGGGGAGUGAAAAAGAACCUGAAACCGUGUACGUACAAGCAGUAGGAGCCCCACCACCAAAGCGUUUCGCUUUGCGUGGUGCGCAAAAUGCGUAACGACAGCAUGAUGGACGGUUAACGGAGCGUCAGCGACGUUCAACCUCAAAAAUCAGGCAGUGGAGCGUUUUGGGGUGGGGUGACUGCGUACCUUUUGUAUAAUGGGUCAGCGACUUAUAUUCUGUAGCAAGGUUAACCGAAUAGGGGAGCCGCAGGGAAACCGAGUCUUAACUGGGCGUUAAGUUGCAGGGUAUAGACCCGAAACCCGGUGAUCUAGCCAUGGGCAGGUUGAAGGUUGGGUAACACUAACUGGAGGACCGAACCGACUAAUGUUGAAAAAUUAGCGGAUGACUUGUGGCUGGGGGUGAAAGGCCAAUCAAACCGGGAGAUAGCUGGUUCUCCCCGAAAGCUAUUUAGGUAGCGCCUCGUGAACUCAUCUUCGGGGGUAGAGCACUGUUUCGGCUAGGGGGUCAUCCCGACUUACCAACCCGAUGCAAACUACGAAUACCGAAGAAUGUUAUCACGGGAGACACACGGCGGGUGCUAACGUCCGUCGUGAAGAGGGAAACAACCCAGACCGCCAGCUAAGGUCCCAAAGUCAUGGUUAAGUGGGAAACGAUGUGGGAAGGCCCAGACAGCCAGGAUGUUGGCUUAGAAGCAGCCAUCAUUUAAAGAAAGCGUAAUAGCUCACUGGUCGAGUCGGCCUGCGCGGAAGAUGUAACGGGGCUAAACCAUGCACCGAAGCUGCGGCAGCGACACUAUGUGUUGUUGGGUAGGGGAGCGUUCUGUAAGCCGUUGAAGGUGGCCUGUGAGGGUUGCUGGAGGUAUCAGAAGUGCGAAUGCUGACAUAAGUAACGAUAAUGCGGGUGAAAAACCCGCACGCCGGAAGACCAAGGGUUCCUGUCCAACGUUAAUCGGGGCAGGGUGAGUCGACCCCUAAGGCGAGGCCGAAAGGCGUAGUCGAUGGGAAACAGGUUAAUAUUCCUGUACUUGGUGUUACUGCGAAGGGGGGACGGAGAAGGCUAUGUUGGCCGGGCGACGGUUGUCCCGGUUUAAGCAUGUAGGCGGAUGUUCCAGGUAAAUCCGGAACGUUAUUAACGCUGAGGUGUGAUGACGAGGCACUACGGUGCUGAAGUGACAAAUGCCCUGCUUCCAGGAAAAGCCUCUAAGCAUCAGGUAACAUCAAAUCGUACCCCAAACCGACACAGGUGGUCAGGUAGAGAAUACCAAGGCGCUUGAGAGAACUCGGGUGAAGGAACUAGGCAAAAUGGUGCCGUAACUUCGGGAGAAGGCACGCUGAUGGUAGGUGAAGUGACUUGCUCAUGGAGCUGAAAUCAGUCGAAGAUACCAGCUGGCUGCAACUGUUUAUUAAAAACACAGCACUGUGCAAACACGAAAGUGGACGUAUACGGUGUGACGCCUGCCCGGUGCCGGAAGGUUAAUUGAUGGGGUUAUCCUCACGGAGAAGCUCUUGAUCGAAGCCCCGGUAAACGGCGGCCGUAACUAUAACGGUCCUAAGGUAGCGAAAUUCCUUGUCGGGUAAGUUCCGACCUGCACGAAUGGCGUAAUGAUGGCCAGGCUGUCUCCACCCGAGACUCAGUGAAAUUGAACUCGCUGUGAAGAUGCAGUGUACCCGCGGCAAGACGGAAAGACCCCGUGAACCUUUACUAUAGCUUGACACUGAACACUGGUCCUUGAUGUGUAGGAUAGGUGGGAGGCUUUGAAGUGUGGACGCCAGUCUGCAUGGAGCCAUCCUUGAAAUACCACCCUUUAAUGGCUGGUGUUCUAACGUGGGCCCGUGAUCCGGGUUGCGGACAGUGUCUGGUGGGUAGUUUGACUGGGGCGGUCUCCUCCUAAAGAGUAACGGAGGAGCACGAAGGUCAGCUAAUCCUGGUCGGACAUCAGGAGGUUAGUGCAAUGGCAUAAGCUGGCUUGACUGCGAGCGUGACGGCGCGAGCAGGUGCGAAAGCAGGUCAUAGUGAUCCGGUGGUUCUGAAUGGAAGGGCCAUCGCUCAACGGAUAAAAGGUACUCCGGGGAUAACAGGCUGAUACCGCCCAAGAGUUCAUAUCGACGGCGGUGUUUGGCACCUCGAUGUCGGCUCAUCACAUCCUGGGGCUGAAGUAGGUCCCAAGGGUAUGGCUGUUCGCCAUUUAAAGUGGUACGCGAGCUGGGUUUAGAACGUCGUGAGACAGUUCGGUCCCUAUCUGCCGUGGGCGCUGGAGAAUUGAGGGGGGCUGCUCCUAGUACGAGAGGACCGGAGUGGACGCAUCACUGGUGUUCGGGUUGUCAUGCCAAUGGCAUUGCCCGGUAGCUAAAUGCGGAAGAGAUAAGUGCUGAAAGCAUCUAAGCACGAAACUUGCCCCGAGAUGAGUUCUCCCUGACUCCUUGAGAGUCCUGAAGGAACGUUGAAGACGACGACGUUGAUAGGCCGGGUGUGUAAGCGCAGCGAUGCGUUGAGCUAACCGGUACUAAUGAACCGUGAGGCUUAACCUUACAACGCCGAAG
RNAcentral lists this ribosomal RNA (3041 nucleotides) under Klebsiella oxytoca. RNAcentral describes it as "23S ribosomal RNA". It matches the Rfam family "Bacterial large subunit ribosomal RNA". Lineage: Bacteria; Pseudomonadati; Pseudomonadota; Gammaproteobacteria; Enterobacterales; Enterobacteriaceae. The record is from RNAcentral.